Mastacembelus armatus (zig-zag eel) is the source of this 1643-nucleotide long non-coding RNA. Ensembl lists it as uncharacterized. The record is from Ensembl. NCBI's taxonomy places the organism in Eukaryota, Metazoa, Chordata, Actinopteri, Synbranchiformes, Mastacembelidae.
GUUAACUUUGCUACUGUGCAGAAAUCAGGCAGCUUUAUCAAGCAACAGCAGCGUCUCUGUGAUGCCAUUAAUCUUUAACAGCAUCAGAGGAGAAGACAUCCUCAAUGUCAUGUGAGAAAACUGCACUUUACACUCUGCCAGAGGAGACUGUGACAGCAACACAUGACAAGAACAACACAGCUGCAUUUGGGAGAAGUCACACGAGCUGGUCUGAAAUGUUAACCAAGUGGUUAACCUUCACUGCUCUUCUGGUCGGCUCAGUGAAUCCACAGAGUCGCGGCACUCUGACUGUUGCACCCACCUGCAGGGUCAAAGGUCAACCAGAGGCAGAACUGAUGUUAAACUGUGGAGAUGGAAAGAACGCAGGUGUGGUCCAGUACUGGCACACCCCGUUCGGAGAGCUCCAGACCCCUGGAUUCCACCACAAACUGGACCCAGUCUUCCUGGACCAUGACAGGAGCCUGGUGGUCCCUAACAGCAGUGUUCUGCACAGCGGCCUGUACUACUGCCUCCUGCAGCACACACAGGGAGCUACGCUCUGGCCGUACGAGCUCCACAUUCAUCAUACCAGUCAAAAGAAGCAGGACCACAGAGGGUAUGAGCAGAGCAGCAGCUGUGCUGGGCUCAGGCUCAGUAGGGGUGCAGGGCCUGAGGAGGUGAAGCAGGAAGGUGUUUCAGAUGGGUUGUUUGCAGGAGCUGUGGCAGGAUCGGUGCUGCUCUCGUUUGUGGUGGGUUUCAGCACUGGAGCUCUGACAAGGACUCAUGUUCUCAGGUGUUUACAGGUUGUCACCAUGAGGCUGCGGUCACCACGGCAACAACGGUGCCAAAUCGACACACAAGACCAUCGGCCUGACGUUACCAUGACAACCACGUUGCCCAUGUACGACAACCAGGCCUUCGAGAUAGGACGAGCGCAGGAUGACGUCUCUGUGAGUCGUUUAUCUCCCCCUGCAAAACCUCAGAGAAGCUUCAGACACAAACAAGAGCAGCAGGGACCCACAGCGUAUCUGGAGGGAUGUGGCUGCACAGCAGAGGAGGAGAGAAGAACAGAGGAGGAGGUGCCAGGAACAAGUCUGGAGCAAAAGAAUAAAGAGUGUGACAGGGAGGCAGAGGAGCAGAAAAUAUUUUAUCUAUUAGGAGGAGAUGGAGGGAGUCAAUUGGACAGUGAUGAGAAAGGUGGAAGAGGGAGCAUGGAUGAAAAGCAGGAGAGGAGACAGAAUGGAGAGGAGGCAGGUGAGGAGGAGAGGAGAGGAAGUGAUGAAGAGGAGAAAAGAGGUGACAAGGAGAAAGAGGAAGAUGAUCGAGAAAAGAACAGGGAGGAAGACGUUUGCAGCGACUCCACAGAAACCGAUGACGAUGAGACAGAAAAUCAGGACACGAUGGAAAAUGAAGCACCGCCCUCUCCGCCCCGACCAGUCCGCCGCAGCCGCGUCAUCCGCCUGUACCAGUACGACGAAGACGGCCAGCGAUACAGUCACCUCCCAGACGCCUCCCCUGACGAUCCAGGCCCCGCCCCCAGGCUUAGGCAGCGGUCCCUGUCACUGACACGCCUCAACGCCAUCAUGGCUGCCGUCUCAGCAGGCCCGCUGGACCGGAGAGAGACAGGGAAGGAGGAGAGGCCACACUUCCACAUGGAGAUAUAA